Non-coding RNA from Vicia faba (fava bean), 151 nucleotides. The record is from the annotation of a GenBank genome assembly. NCBI's taxonomy places the organism in Eukaryota, Viridiplantae, Streptophyta, Magnoliopsida, Fabales, Fabaceae.
AUGGGUCCACAAUUAGGGUUUGAUAUUUCUCAAGCAACAUUGGGUUUCCAAGGUCUCAAGUGGAUUUCACUAUUCUUCAUAUGUAUUCAAGAAUGCUCGUAUCAAAUUUCAUGCCUUGCAUCACAAGUUUGCUCAGUCAAUGGUUCAGAUG